RNAcentral lists this ribosomal RNA (433 nucleotides) under uncultured bacterium. Its description in RNAcentral is "partial 16S ribosomal RNA". It matches the Rfam family "Bacterial small subunit ribosomal RNA", at positions 29 to 507 of the family's 1533-position model. The record is from RNAcentral.
AACGAACGCUGGCGGCAUGCCUAACACAUGCAAGUCGAACGAGACCUUCGGGUCUAGUGGCGCACGGGUGCGUAACGCGUGGGAACCUGCCCUUAGGUUCGGAAUAACUCCCCGAAAGGGGUGCUAAUACCGGAUAAUGUCUUCGGACCAACGAUUUAUCGCCUUUGGAUGGGCCCGCGUUGGAUUAGCUAGUUGGUAGGGUAAAAGCCUACCAAGGCGACGAUCCAUAGCUGGUCUGAGAGGAUGAUCCGCCACACUGGGACUGGGACACGGCCCAGACUCCUACGGGAGGCAGCAGUGGGGAAUAUUGGACAAUGGGCGAAAGCCUGAUCCAGCAAUGCCGCGUGAGUGAUGAAGGCCUUAGGGUUGUAAAGCUCUUUUACCCGGGAUGAUAAUGACAGUACCGGGAGAAUAAGCUCCGGCUAACUCCGUG